GCCUAUACAUGCAGUCGAACGAGCUUCCGUUGAAUGACGUGCUUGCACUGAUUUCAACAAUGAAGCGAGUGGCGAACUGGUGAGUAACACGUGGGAAAUCUGCCCAGAAGCAGGGGAUAACACUUGGAAACAGGUGCUAAUACCGUAUAACAACAAAAUCCGCAUGGAUUUUGUUUGAAAGGUGGCUUCGGCUAUCACUUCUGGAUGAUCCCGCGGCGUAUUAGUUAGUUGGUGAGGUAAAGGCCCACCAAGACGAUGAUACGUAGCCGACCUGAGAGGGUAAUCGGCCACAUUGGGACUGAGACACGGCCCAAACUCCUACGGGAGGCAGCAGUAGGGAAUCUUCCACAAUGGACGAAAGUCUGAUGGAGCAAUGCCGCGUGAGUGAAGAAGGGUUUCGGCUCGUAAAACUCUGUUGUUAAAGAAGAACACCUUUGAGAGUAACUGUUCAAGGGUUGACGGUAUUUAACCAGAAAGCCACGGCUAACUACGUGCCAGCAGCCGCGGUAAUACGUAGGUGGCAAGCGUUGUCCGGAUUUAUUGGGCGUAAAGCGAGCGCAGGCGGUUUUUUAAGUCUGAUGUGAAAGCCUUCGGCUUAACCGGAGAAGUGCAUCGGAAACUGGGAGACUUGAGUGCAGAAGAGGACAGUGGAACUCCAUGUGUAGCGGUGGAAUGCGUAGAUAUAUGGAAGAACACCAGUGGCGAAGGCGGCUGUCUAGUCUGUAACUGACGCUGAGGCUCGAAAGCAUGGGUAGCGAACAGGAUUAGAUACCCUGGUAGUCCAUGCCGUAAACGAUGAGUGCUAAGUGUUGGAGGGUUUCCGCCCUUCAGUGCUGCAGCUAACGCAUUAAGCACUCCGCCUGGGGGAGUACGACCGC
Molecule: ribosomal RNA, 878 nt
Filed under: Levilactobacillus brevis
Lineage: Bacteria; Bacillati; Bacillota; Bacilli; Lactobacillales; Lactobacillaceae
Description: bacterial SSU rRNA
Rfam family: Bacterial small subunit ribosomal RNA
Source: RNAcentral